GGAUUACUAUUGAAAAUAGUGACAAUUUACAGGAUUUCAAUAAUUUUUUGUCGUCUAAUAUCAACAAUUAUUCUCUCAGAACUAUCGGAAGAUCAAAUUUAUUUCUUUAUCCUCAGAAUUCUUCCCAUUGUUAUUCAGCAUCUUUCAGCCACUCCGGAGUUGCUGACAUUCCCAGUAUUUGUCAGAGACGUAUGAGCCUUUGUGUAUUUCUCCAGAACCGCCGCUUGAUCCUCGACGGUCACGGUCACUCCUGUGAAAUAAAUUAAAUCCAAGGAAUGCUGAAAAUAUGUGGGACGGAGUUUCACAAUUUUUUAGGUUCAUUUCGGAUUGAAUUAAAGCUAGUGUAUCAAAGGUGGAUGUGUUAUAUCUUUAAAAAAUGAUUCUAUAGAAUGAAAGAGAGAUACUGGCUUCUAAAUACGAUCCUGGAGGACAAGAAUGUAAGAAGUGAUGAUAUAUGUCACACAGAUGAGGAAAAAGAAUUAGAUCCACGCGCCCUCAGGAAAUUGGAUUUUCUUCUCGCAUCACCGGACGUUUUCACUGGAGAAAUCGAGAUUUCCCAUCCAGAAUAUUAUACGAAGAGUGACUACUCCGGAAGUGCGAGGAGCCAGGACUUAAAAUGCCGAGUAGAUCCGGAUCGAUGUAGUCAGACACAGUCAUAUAAGUUCUCCAAGAGUUCGGUGAAGGGCAGAUUUUUGAUCCAUCCGCGAGGAGAAAUGUGAGACUCUUUAAAGGAAAAAUCGUUACGAUUGUUCUCAGGGAUUCCAGAAAUAAUUCAGAAUGGCGAAACAAAAGUAGCGGGAAAGUUAAUAGAUGGGAGUACGUAUGGAACUGUACAGAUAAAACUGAAUCAGGAGCUGGAAAAAUUGAGGAAAAUGCACAAUAUAUAAUGGAUGUGUAUGUAAUAUAUAUAUGAAUAUGGGGCCAAUGGGGAGACGAAUAUAAAGGUAACAAUCAAAAUAAUUAUUGGAUGUCGACUAAUUUUAUGAUAAAGGGAUCAAUAAUCAUUGGAUCAUCAAUAGAAAUUAAUUAUGUUCAUGU
RNA transcript from Diachasmimorpha longicaudata, 1038 nucleotides. RefSeq lists it as uncharacterized. Lineage: Eukaryota; Metazoa; Arthropoda; Insecta; Hymenoptera; Braconidae. The record is from RefSeq and is a predicted model, not a curated record. The transcript has 6 exons.